Molecule: long non-coding RNA, 1314 nt
Organism: Neopsephotus bourkii (Bourke's parrot)
Lineage: Eukaryota; Metazoa; Chordata; Aves; Psittaciformes; Psittacidae
Exons: 3
Source: RefSeq, a predicted model, not a curated record
AGAUAAGCAGCAUAAAUAGCUGCCCAAGAAUCAGAGAUAUGACUAAUUCCUAUUCAUUAGACACAUGCAAUAUAAAUAACUACUUUUUUCACUACUCAUUAAGUACAGCGAAAUUCCUUCAGCCCUAUCACAGGCGUCCAGGUCUGCUUCCACACUGUCUCCUUUGAAUAAAUCCAUGUCGUCAUUCUGAAGGCUUGUACUUCCAAUAAAAGGAAAUGGGAAAGGCUGUGCGCCACGGGCAUCCUCCUCUACCUCUGCAGCUCUGGUUCCUGGGGAUUUAAGAAGAUGGGCUCCAGGGGGAUUUUCACUGGGUCACUGCAUCAGUGUUGGAGCUUUCCCUGGGGCUGCGCACAUGUUGCCACACAGCCGAGGGCAGGGGAAACUGUGCCAUUUCAGCUCAACUUGAUUACAGGGAAGCACUACACAAGACUAGAGCUUCGUAAGGAUCCUGCAGGUCAAUCUGUCCUGCCUCCAGAAACCCAGCUCCAGGCGCUCUUUUGAUUCUGAAGGUAUGCCCUGCCUAACUCACUGUGAGCUUAGUGAGACAGUGCACGUUGCCCAGCAGCCAUGGUUCUGCAUUGACUUGAAACAAUGGGACUGACUGCUGUUGUGCUGGGCUUUGUUCCACAGAGGUAGGCUCACUAUUUAAACCAUAUGUUGAAUUAUAGCCUUGUAAGUAGGAGGAAAACUAAAGCAUAUUUCACUGGGUUCUACAAAAGCACUGAAUGGGUGUCAUUUUUAUCAAGGUUUUAUGUGCACUAUCCAAACACCAAACUGUUGUGCUGUAGAAUGAAAUUUAAGGUGAGCUGUUGUAUUACAUGUCUAGAGGUGACUGCAUCAGUAGUAGUCCACAGUUUGUAGUCCUUGCCUCAGGAUUCGAGGCUGAUGCUUAGAGAUGAGUUUUUGGGUGGUGAAGAAGGAUUGCUAAGAUUAGAGCUGGACAUUUGAUUUUCAGAGGUAUGAUGGUCUAUUUCCUAGGGGGUGUUGAAGCUGCUCAGGAUGAGCCCUUGACAUUCAGGUAGUUGAAACACAAAGUGCUCCUAUGUUUUUCUGAUGCACCCAAAGGUAAUGUGAGUUUUGCAAGCCAGUCUUGCUGUUGGGGUUAGGGCUGACAUUCUCCAAAACUGACUGUUUGAAACUGUACCUGUCUUCUGUUUUAAUUAGGUGGGGUUCAUGGCUAGAAACCUGAGCUAAGCAGAAUGCUAAGUGUGGUGGGUUAGUGCUGGGCUGGAGUGCAAAGGAUGUCUGCUUGGCCUGCAGCUACGAUGCUGUACCUGGCCUUGAUUGCACUACUGAAGCAUUUUGGGACAUAGC